RNAcentral lists this ribosomal RNA (517 nucleotides) under uncultured bacterium. Its description in RNAcentral is "bacterial SSU rRNA". It matches the Rfam family "Archaeal small subunit ribosomal RNA", at positions 345 to 866 of the family's 1478-position model. The record is from RNAcentral.
AACCUCCGCAAUGUGAGAAAUCGCGACGGGGGGAUCCCAAGUGCCAUUCUUAACGGGAUGGCUUUUCAUUAGUGUAAAGAGCUUUUGGAAUAAGAGCUGGGCAAGACCGGUGCCAGCCGCCGCGGUAACACCGGCAGCUCUAGUGGUAACAAUUUUUAUUGGGCCUAAAGCGUCCGUAGCCGGUUUAAUAAGUCUCUGGUGAAAUCCUGCAGCUUAACUGUGGGAAUUGCUGGAGAUACUAUUAGACUUGAGACCGGGAGAGGUUAGAGGUACUCCCAGGGUAGAGGUGAAAUUCUGUAAUCCUGGGAGGACCGCCUGUUGCGAAGGCGUCUAACUGGAACGGUUCUGACGGUGAGGGACGAAAGUUAGGGGCGCGAACCGGAUUAGAUACCCGGGUAGUCCUAACUGUAACGAUGCGGACUUGGUGUUGGGGUGGCUUUGAGCUGCUUCAGUGCCGAAGGGAGGCUGUAAGUCCGCCGCCUGGGAGUACGGUCGCAAGACUGAACUUAAAGGAAUU